RNAcentral lists this ribosomal RNA (253 nucleotides) under uncultured bacterium. Its description in RNAcentral is "partial 16S ribosomal RNA". It matches the Rfam family "Bacterial small subunit ribosomal RNA", at positions 524 to 776 of the family's 1533-position model. The record is from RNAcentral.
UACAGAGGUCUCGAGCGUUGUUCGGAUUCAUUGGGCGUAAAGGGUGCGUAGGCGGCGAGGUAAGUCGGGUGUGAAAUUCCGGGGCUCAACCCCGGAACUGCACUCGAUACUGCUUUGCUCGAGGACUGGAGAGGAGAACGGAAUUCACGGUGUAGCAGUGAUAUGCGUAGAUAUCGUGAGGAAGACCGGUGGCGAAGGCGGUUCUCUGGACAGUUCCUGACGCUGAGGCACGAAGGCUAGGGGAGCGAACGGG